AAUCAACGCUGGCGGCGUGCCUAACACAUGCAAGUCGAACGGGAAAGCGCUUUUCGGAGUGCGAGUAGAGUGGCGGACGGGUGAGUAACGCGUAGGAAUCUACCUUAUAGUGGGGGAUAACCCGGGGGAAACUCGGGCUAAUACCGCAUAAUCUCUACGGAGCAAAGCGGGGGAUCUUCGGACCUCGUGCUAUUAGAUGAGCCUGCGUUGGAUUAGCUUGUUGGUGGGGUAAAGGCCUACCAAGGCGUCGAUCAGUAGCUGGUCUGAGAGGAUGAUCAGCCACACUGGGACUGAGACACUGCCCAGACUCCUACGGGAGGCUGCAGUCGAGAAUCAUUCGCAAUGCGCGAAAGCGUGACGAUGCGACGCCGCGUGGAGGAUGACGGCCUUCGGGUUGUAAACUCCUGUCAUGAGGGAAAAACCUCCGGGGUGUUAAUACCGCCUCGGAUUGAUGGUACCUCAAGAGGAAGCCACGGCUAACUCUGUG
RNAcentral lists this ribosomal RNA (487 nucleotides) under uncultured bacterium. Its description in RNAcentral is "bacterial SSU rRNA". It matches the Rfam family "Bacterial small subunit ribosomal RNA", at positions 32 to 507 of the family's 1533-position model. The record is from RNAcentral.